RNAcentral lists this RNase P RNA (380 nucleotides) under Rhodocyclaceae bacterium. RNAcentral's name for it is "RNase P RNA component class A". It matches the Rfam family "Bacterial RNase P class A". From Rfam's summary of the family: Ribonuclease P (RNase P) is a ubiquitous endoribonuclease, found in archaea, bacteria and eukarya as well as chloroplasts and mitochondria. Its best characterised activity is the generation of mature 5'-ends of tRNAs by cleaving the 5'-leader elements of precursor-tRNAs. Lineage: Bacteria; Pseudomonadati; Pseudomonadota; Betaproteobacteria; Rhodocyclales; Rhodocyclaceae. The record is from RNAcentral.
GAAGUUCGCCAGGCAGUCGCUGCGCAUGGUUUCAUGCGUGGAGGAAAGUCCGGGCCCCGCAGAGCAGGAUGCCGGCUAACGGCCGGGCGUCGUGAGGCGACGGAAAGUGCAACAGAGAGCAGACCGCCGAUGGCCUCGAAAGAGGAUCAGGCAAGGGUGAAACGGUGGGGUAAGAGCCCACCGCAGGACCGGUAACGGGACUGGCACGGCAAACCCCAUCCGGGGCAAGGCCAAAUAGGGGAGCAAUGGCGUGGCUCGCGUCGCUCCCGGGUAGGCUGCUAGAGCGCCGCGGUAACGCGUCGCCCAGAGGAAUGACUGCCCGGCGGUCCGGUUUCGGCUGGAUCGCUCGACAGAACCCGGCUUACAGGCGAACUUCCACU